CCCAACUAUCCCUAUUAAUCAUUACGGUGAUCCUAGAAACCAACGAAAUAGAAUCAGUCCGUCCUAUUUCAUUAUUCCAUGCUAAUGUAUUCAGACGAUAGUCUGCUUUAAACACUCUAAUUUUUUCAAAGUAACAGUCCUGAUUUCCCAUCACACCAAAUGAAUGGCAUGAAAGUUCCUCAGAAGGUAGAGAUCCAUCUCACCAGUGCAGACAAUUAAGCCUGACCAAUGGGUAGACCCCGAGGUUCAACUACGAGCUUUUUAACUGCAACAACUUUAAUAUACGCUAUUGGAGCUGGAAUAAUAGAAUAGGACUUUAGUCUCCUUUGUUGGUUUGAGGGACUGAAGUAAUGAUUAAUAGGGAUAGUUGGGUCUUAGAC
RNAcentral lists this unclassified non-coding RNA (380 nucleotides) under uncultured Diversisporaceae. Its description in RNAcentral is "sequence contains 18S rRNA gene". Lineage: Eukaryota; Fungi; Glomeromycota; Glomeromycetes; Diversisporales. The record is from RNAcentral.